GAUGAAGAACGUAGCGAAAUGCGAUAAGCAGUGUGAAUUGCAGAAUUCAGUGAAUCAUCGAAUCUUUGAACGCACAUUGCGCCCCUUGGUAUUCCAUGGGGCAUGCCUGUUCGAGCGUCAUUUGUACCUUCAAGCUUUGCUUGGUGUUGGGUGUUUGUCCAUUCUCUUGCAGAGGGACUCGCCUUAAAGUAAUUGGCAGCCAGUGUUUUGGUUUUGAAGCGCAGCACAAGUCGCGAUUCAACGCUAUACGCCAGCUUCCACAAGCCUUUUUCACUUUUGACCUCGGAUCAGGUAGGGAUACCCGCUGAACUUAAGCAUAUCAAUAAGCGGAGGA
RNAcentral lists this unclassified non-coding RNA (334 nucleotides) under soil metagenome. Its description in RNAcentral is "partial contains 5.8S ribosomal RNA, internal transcribed spacer 2, and large subunit ribosomal RNA". The stretch from base 1 to 120 matches the Rfam family "5.8S ribosomal RNA", at positions 35 to 154 of the family's 154-position model. The record is from RNAcentral.